AAUUAAGUUAUUAAGGGCAUAGAGUGAAUGCCUUGGUGCUAGAAGGCGAUGAAGGACGUGAUAAGCUGCGAUAAGCUUCGGUAAACUGCAAACAAGUGCUUGAACCGGAGAUUUCCGAAUGGGGUAACCUGAUACCGUUUAACGGUAUCGUUUAUUUCUGAAUAAAAUAAGAAAUAAUACGCAAAACCCGCUGAAUUGAAACAUCUUAGUAAGCGGAGGAAAAGAAAGAGAAUUCGAUUCUGUGAGUAGCGGCGAGCGAAAACGGACCAGCCCAAACCUUGGCUUUUGUCAGGGGGUUGUAGGACCCCAAUGUGGGACUUUGAACGAUAGGUGAAGCAAAUGGAAACUUGCGACAUAGAGGGUGACAUCCCCGUAACCGAAAUCCGACAAAGCCCUAGGGAGUUCCUGAGUAGCACGGGACACGUGAAACCCCGUGUGAAUCUGCGCAGACCACUGCGUAAGGCUAAAUACUAACUAGCGACCGAUAGUGAACCAGUACCGUGAGGGAAAGGUGAAAAGUACCCCUGUGAGGGGAGUGAAAUAGAACCUGAAACCCUAUGCCUACAAGGUGUAAGAGCACUUUCGAGUGUGAUUGCGUGCCUUUUGCUUAAUGAGUCUGCGAGUUACUUUCUGUGGCAAGCAUAAGAUCUUCUGGAUCGGAUGCGUAGCGAAAGCAAGUCCGAAUAGGGCGAACAUAGUUGCAGGAGGUAGACCCGAAACGGAGGUGACCUACCCAUGGCCAGGUUGAAGCGUCGGUAAUACGACGUGGAGGACCGAACCGGUGUGUGUUGAAAAACGCUCGGAUGAGCUGUGGGUCGGAGUGAAAGGCUAUUCAAACCCCGUGAUAGCUGGUUCUCCUC
RNAcentral lists this ribosomal RNA (860 nucleotides) under Akkermansiaceae bacterium. RNAcentral's name for it is "partial 23S ribosomal RNA". It matches the Rfam family "Bacterial large subunit ribosomal RNA", at positions 1 to 860 of the family's 2925-position model. The record is from RNAcentral. Lineage: Bacteria; Pseudomonadati; Verrucomicrobiota; Verrucomicrobiia; Verrucomicrobiales; Akkermansiaceae.